GGAGUGUCUUCGAGCUUUUCUGCAGGAGUAUUUAAUGUAACAUCAAUCGUUUCUGAAGCUCAUGUCGACGGAAAGUCCCCCGGAGGUUAAUUCUGACAAGGGAUUUAAUUUGGUUUUCGACACGGUCAUAUUUUCAUCUCUCUGUCUUGUGAUAUUUUAGUCCAGAUUUAAUCAGAGGAACUCCUCGGUUGCUUUGUCUGAUUUUUUUGUCUUAACUUUUGAAAUGUGAGCGAAAAAAAAGAGAUUUGAGUCGUCUCACUUUGAUUUUUAAAUCAUAUAAACUGUCUGAGGAGUUGAGCUAAAACAACUAAAAGCGAAAUGUGUAAAUCGAAGCUUAAAGUCGUUACAGCAUGUAGAGAUGAGAUGGUUUUAAUACGAGGGCUUUAUGUUCAGACAGAGUUACAGUAACACAGUUAAGGCUCCUGAUCAGAGUGUCUAUUUCAACUCAAAGCAAAGACUCGGCGACUGAACACCACGAGCUGCCACACUGAGAGACUGGCAACACGGCGGGCCAUUUGGCUGUAUUAACCAUGCGCUGUGUGUGUCUGCUGUCUGUGUGAUCUUAAUCCAAUACUGGGAUUCAUAAUCCCCAGCAGGUUUCUCCACUAAACAAAGCUUAGGAAGGAUUUGGUUGUUUGUUUAUCAUCUGAGUUAAUGUCAGGAGGUCAGCUCGGGGACAAAUGGAAGCAGAACAAAAGGAGCUCUGAUACUCUCUCAAUCUCUCUCAAUCCUUCAGUCGCUGCCAAAAUCUGGACGCAAAUCUGCCGCUGCCACGAGAUGUCCACUCGAUGCAACUUAAACAGAGGUAAACGCACGCUCUUGUUAGUAGUUCAGUGUUUCUUUCCACCAAACAGAUUCAUUCAGAUCUGUUUCUUUAAAUCUGCGUUUACUUUAGCCAGUAAAGUUUCUUGUCCAUCCUGAGGUCCAAAGACGACUCCAGGAGCUGUUUAGCUAAGCUUUAUUAUUCCGUUAUCUCCUGAUGAUAAUAAAUGAUGCUCCUGUUUACUCUCCAAACUCUGCAGUAUUAUAAGAUAACAACUUAAUUAUGAUAACGUUUCAGGGUUACACAUUUCGUCCAUUUUAAAAGGAGAAAAAAAAACACAGAGCUGCUCCUCUUCCAGAGACAGACAGUGCAUGAUAACAGCACUUUUAUCAUCAUAAACAUCGCCGCUUCACUCUCAUGUUACAGAUAGUUUAAGAUGUGAUUUUAAUCUGGAACUUUUUUUGUCACAUUCAGUCCAAAGCUCUCAGUUGGACGUAGUUGCAUCCAUAAAUCUGGUCCUGGCAUUCACAGACGGGGGACGCAGGACUGCUGGAGGUGUUGGUGAGUUAUUCAGCAGAAGUGUAGACAGCUUCAGGUAAAGAAUUUCGUUUGUUAUUCAUUCACUUCUUCUUUCACUGCCAAAUAAUAUAUUUAACUUUACUGUUACAUGCAGAAUAGCUUCAUUUUUGCUGGGUUGUAAUAUUGAGUGUGAUACUUGAAUUAGAGCUGCAACAAUAAACAAAUACUGAUGUUAUUUAUAUUGUAAGAAAUUAAAUAAAAUGCUGAUAUUGUGCUAAAAAUAAUCACAUUAUAAUACUGUGAUGUCACUCAUCUGAAAACAGAGACUAAGCUGCUUGUGAGUUAGCUGUAGCAUCCCUCUAACAGAUGAUUCAGCACUUUUCAAACUCAUAAUCAAGAUUUAUUGUGACUCUAAAAACAGCAUUAGAGCUCUCUGCCUGUUUAAGUUACCAAUCAAAUGAACAUUUAAACUUCCUAACUGUUCAGUUCAGUAACUCACGAUCUACCAGAAGUAAAAUCCUUCAAAAUAAAAGCGUGGUUUGGCAGUGCAGGAAACAUAGCAACCUAAACAGAAGAGAGAAAAAACACAUCAGAAUAAAAGCAUAAAUAACAAUCAUUUAUUGAGGGACUUAAUAUAUUACCAGAAAUAGAUGAUGACAUGUAAGUUAACUAUAUUCAUUCGUGACUUUAUUAAGUUAUAGUAUGUACCAGAUUUAACGAUUGUCUUGUUUUCUUGUCAAGUUUUCAAGUAAUUUAACAACUUACUUAUAAUAACUCAUAAUAAAAAUGAGAGUUUAAAGUUAUAAAGGUAAUGGUUUUUUAGAAGCUACGAUACAAUACGAUAUGAUAUGAUACAAUAUGAUACAAUAUGAUACAAUAUGAUAUAAUACAAAACAAUACGUUACAACAAGAUACAAGACGACACAACACGAAACAAUACAACAUAAAUGCAAUACAAUACAGUACGAUAUACAACACGAUACGAUAUGAUACAAUAGGAUUCGAUACAGAAAACAUAAUAUGAUAGGAUACGAUGCAAUACGAUAUGAUACAAUGCAAUAUGAUACGUUACAACAAGAUACAAGACGACACAACACGAAACAAUACGAUAUAAACACAAUACAAUACAGUACGAUAUACAACAUGAUACGAUACAGUACGAUACAAUGUGAGACGAUACGAUACGUUACAACAAGAUACAACACGAUAUAAUACGAUAUAAUAUGAUACAACAUGGUACAAUAAGGUACAAUACGAUACAAUAGGAUACAAUACGGUUCAUCUUGUUGUCCUAUUGAUUUCUAAUAACACCUUCUUCAACAUUAAAGGUCAGUCUCCUGCAUUGUUGUUGUCAUCUCUACUCUUUCACUAACAGUAAAAUGUUGCCCCUCUAAAUAUUAUCUGUCUCUUCUCUAAGGAAACCAGGUGACAUUGGUUAAUCCUCCUUUUUUUUUCAUGGGAUGCCAAUCAGAUGAUGUGAUGCUCCUGCCGCCGCCAAACUGUGAUUAGUCAGACCGAUGCCAAGAGAGGCCGGCAGCUCUUUGGCUUCAAAACAAUCAGAUCACAGCGUGAUGUCAAUGCAACUGUAGUGAAAUAAUAGGAGAACGCCCGGGGACGACUAUUAACGCCGUUACCGAAUGCAGUGAUACAGUUGUGUGUAAAACAGGAGGGUAAAUUCGCUCUUUGGUUUCAUUGCACCACCUGUUGAAGCACAAACACGCUGUUUUGUGAAAGCUCUGUAAAAUGCUCACAGAUUGGAGGUUUUGUUUCACUUGGCUUAUGCAGAGACAUUCCCCACGCCAAGCCUCUGGGUGUUAGCCCAAUAUCUGACAAAUCUGUCACUGGCUGCUCAUUCUGUUUGUGCAGAAAAUGGUCUUUUUGGUCUUUUGUUGCAGCUUUUGGUCUUUCAGUCCUGGGCCUCUGAUAGGUACUAGGCUUCAGGUUGUUUUCAAACAGGCUGUGAAAACCCAGCCAGAACCAAAAAGGUGGAUGAGACUGAUGUUUAUGUGUUUUCCCGUUUAUUUUCUUUUAUUCUAUAUCACAAAAGCAUAUUUAUUUCAUCCCAACUUAUAACCAUUGACAUUAUCCAUUAAAGGGAUAUUCCGGCAUAAAAUUAAUUUAGGGUCAAACCCACCGUAACACCGAGUUAGACCCCCCCUCCAGAGAUGAAUGUUGCCGACCGCUUGCUUCUCUAGUUAUACCAACUUUAGUAACGACCGCAGGAUAGCAAUACAGAGAGCCACGCGCUCAACCAAAACGCCACUCUAUAGCCACAAAUAAUGCUCAGAACAGCACCUAACUUCAUCAACAGGACAUAUAGGGUCACAGACAUAGUACUAGACACCAAACAUCUUUUUAACUUUUCCUGAUUCCUUGUUUCACACAACUCACCUACUCUCUUCCAGCAGCCGCUUGUUUGUGCGAGUCCAUCGACUGCAGUGGGGAGUCACAGCUAAAGGAAGAACAUUUAUGAUCAUUUCUUUAUCAUUUCCAUGAAGUAAUAAUCACCAUAUUACUCAUUUUGUACUGCAGAUGGGGUUUGAUGACGUCACGGUCUGACUGCAUUUCCACGAGGAAAUGAUCAUAAAUGUACUUCCGGAGCUGUAAUGGUAUUUUAAGCUCCUGUAGAGAACUUUUGGUUUGUAAUAGCGGACAAAGCAGUCCUUGCUUAUCUUGUCCUUUACAUGCAAAAGCAGUAAUUUUUCACUUUUGACUGUCAAAUCUAUAAUUUAUUGAGAAUAUUUCAUGUCGAAACUUUAAAAAAAGGUGUGUCUCAAGCUGUUCUGCUGAUAUCUACCCCCUCCCACCAAAUUCAAUCCUUGACUAUCAUAACAAAAAGCUGUAAAUCUUGUCACUGAUGGUCUUUUUUGCUUUUGGAUGUUAUGUUUAUAAAUUUGAUAAGUUAUGGUUAUUGUAAAGUGUUACUGAAAGUUCUUUACAGGAGCUUUAAAAACAUUUUUAAAAAGUUGGAAACUUCUGAUCCGGUCUGUUUUGUGUCAUAGUAAAAAAAAGUAGCAGUCUGGUUCAUGUGGACUUUUAGUAUCUGCCUGAAGAGCUCUGACCAGCACUCUCCAGUAAAAAGGCAAAGACACAGAACCACAGGUUAAGCUUCAUUGUCUGACACAAGGACACUCCAGCAGAGUGGAUACUCGCUGACUCUGCAGUCUGAACUCUGCUCCUCUCGCUGAAGGACUCUCUCUCUUUUUACUGUAAGACCCCUGAGCCGCUGCGGUCCCCUCUCCAGCUUAAACCCCACCAUGUGACUGAACACAACACGAGGAAACACAUGACACAGAGCCAGGAGCGGGCCGGGGAAACUGUGGGUUUGUUUUUUUGUCUUUUUGGCAAAUUAAAUCAAAGACACAUGGAUCUCUGCCCGGAUGGUGUUUGUAUUUGUAUUAAACUCAAACAGGCAGAAAGAAUCAAGCAGGAGCUGUUUCUACGCACCGAUCCUGGCGUCUAAUAAAAGGCGGGUAAUAUGUGUUUAACUGGGCGAGGGUGUGACUCCCUACCUUUGGGACCGCCGCUGCAGUCGGCCUCCUGACCAACACAUCGCACACGCCAACAUUAGCCGCGUGUAUGGGUUUUAAAAGCUACACACAUCCUCACAUUUCACCUCUAAGGAAGGAAACGGCUCUGUUUUUACUCAGCUGGUCAUGUUCCAGCCGGCCCCUAACAGCCAGACAGGUUAUUGGAAUCAAUAAAUUUAACCACAUAAGGCAGGUAGAGAGGACAAUAAAAGAAGCUGCUGCAGCUCCUGGUUUCCCACUGAGCUCCUUUCUGCAGAGCUUUACGCUCAACUCUACUGUCUUUUUGCUCUUUUUCCACUGAAGUUCCUACAAUAACUGCGUGUUUCACAUUUAAAGACUUGCUCACUAGUUAGUGUUGAUAGUUUUUACUAGAAGAGCUGCACAGGUAGCCUCACAGAGCUAAUGUAAACACUUGUGACAGCUAUUAGCAAGUGUGUCGUCAUUUUUAACACAUAAUCCUGCGUUUUUCAUGCACCUAUUAGCAGCUUCCCUCCUAACUGUGAUAAACGAAUGUUGCAAAACGAAAGAUCUGCAGCAGGUGGAAACAUGAAACAUCAGGUCUGAUGAAAAACUCACUCUUUGGAUUUAUGUGAAAUAAAAAACUGAGAAUAGCAAUCAGACACACCAGUUAACAAUGGCAUCAAAAUGCAGGGAAGCAAAUGGAAGGUGGGUAAAAAAAAAGGUACGGAUCAUGAAAACAUAAUUGACAGACUGACUCAGUUAAAAGUUAUAGUUAAAUCAUCGACAUGUUUUUUUUUCUAAUAAACUGACAUAAGAGACUCAAAAUAACAUUCUAAACCAACUAGAAAAGAGAGGAGGGGAGAGAUGGGGAAACUGCAGAACUAGAACGCGAAAGAGACAUCCACCAAACUGAAGAAAACAAACACAAACCAACAGCAAACUGCAACAUGGUGUGGACUUUGGCGGGAAAAUAUAAACAGACUUUAAAAGUUGAAGUAAGGAGAUCUUCUAAAGGUACCUCUGUUGUCCUCUGUAUCUGUCAAAGACGACCAAAUGAACUCAUUUCACCUUCCUGUAAAGAUGUACAACUUUGCAUAACAUAGCGAAGAACUUCCUUUCCCUGAAACUGGUGUCCAUGAAAACCCUCAUUUUAACACAGUCCAACCUCUCCAGGUUUGUUUCAGCUGCUGGGUGUUACUUUUUACACAGCUUUGACAUCCCGAAACAACCUGAAAUUUAUGUUUUUACAAAAAGUGUCAUAACAGCCCGCUUAGAGAUCGCUGUUUUACUGAUUUGGGGUCUUUAUGGAGAUCCUUAUAUGUAUCUGUCAUAUGCCACAAAGUAUAAACUAACUUUGCAUUGACGUGCAGCUAACCCUGACUUAAGCUGCGUUUCAGUUAUACUUGGAAAUCGAGAUUUCCAGCUCCAAGUCGGAAAUUCAUCUGGAACGUCCCCCAUAAGUCCGAUUUCUGACUCAGAAAGUCGGACGAUCCUCACUGACCCUGACCACGUCAUAAUCCAAGAUGGCAGCACAGUGCAUCAACAGAAAAGAGUAACGGUGAAAACUCUCGCAAUGUUUUAUUUAUUAGCACUUCUGUUUUGUUUUUGUGAAAUUAAAUAAGUGGUUUAUGUUGUUCUGCCCAACGUCUAACUGUGAAC
This is a non-coding RNA of Xyrichtys novacula (pearly razorfish), 6432 nucleotides long. Lineage: Eukaryota; Metazoa; Chordata; Actinopteri; Labriformes; Labridae. The record is from the annotation of a GenBank genome assembly.